Molecule: microRNA precursor, 103 nt
Filed under: Marmota monax (woodchuck)
Lineage: Eukaryota; Metazoa; Chordata; Mammalia; Rodentia; Sciuridae
Source: RNAcentral
CCCUUGGUUACCUGGGGGAUUUCUUAAAAGGCAGGUUCCAACCCAGCAGUGCAGGUGGGGUCUUGGAUCCUACAUGUCUAACAAACUCUUAGGGGUCCCCAUA